AUGGCCGGCGGAGUCGGAGCGGCGGACCUGAGCCAGCAGACCCACGUGGACCCGCACUCGGAGACGUCGUUCCUCGACCACUGUCCUCGUCCGCGGCUGCGAUGGCAUGGCUUCCGGGAGAUGGUCUCGCUGCCGGUCCCCGACGAGCUCCUGGCCGAGAUCUUCCUCCUCCCAGGCCCAGCCGACCUCGCCCGCGCCUCCGUUUCCUUCCACUGCGUCGCUGCUGAACACUCCUUCCUCCGACGCUUCCGCAUGCUCCACGACCCGCCCCUCCUCGGCUUCCACCCCGCCGAGCCGCUCACCCCUCCGCGCCGGCAGCCAGCGCCGCUGGCCUCGCCGGCGACUUCUCCUUCAACUUCCUGCACGCCCCCUCCAGCUCCUGGGUCGUCCAGGACAGCCGCGACGGGCGCGUACUCCUUAUCCUUAAUAGAGGCCCCCAGGAGGUUUCCAUCUUAUUUUGCAAAGUACACUGAUAGAUGGUGCCAAGGAAAUGCUGGAAUAAAGCGUGGAGAGGGCAUUCGGAGCACUCUGAACCGGAGCAAGAGCAAGAAGCCGAACUAUUCCUCAUGGGUUAAGUACUUCCUCGACCGAGGAGACACGACCCCUGUAUUGCUAGAGCAUGGGGCGUUCUUGGCCAUGUGGUUGUCCGAGUACGUGCUCCCGUCGCCGCCGUGUGACGUGGUUCUGGCGCGGGUGCUCCCCAUCGCCGCCCAACUGGCACGCGGCCAGCCCAUGGCUCUGGCACCCGCGGUGCUUGCUAGCAUCUACAAGUGCUUGUCCACGCUCGCCGGGUGUGCCCCGCUCCAGAUCCUCCAGCUUUGGCUCUGGGAGCGGUUCCCGGAGCUUCGCCCGGAGAAGAAGGUGUCCGCCCACAACAAUGACAACGGCGUGCCGGCCAGGGCUGCACAGUGGCACAACGUCAGAGAGGUGCUCGAACCCAGGUACCUCCACGCUGUGUUCAUGUCACCAGAAAGAUUUGAGUGGAUGCCUUAUGGCAGCAGCAGCUUUGGCGUGCCACCCGGCAAUGGCGGCCGCCAGAUCCAUGGCCAGGACAGAGCAAGAAGUGACGAGUUGUUAUCCAUGGCACUAUGCCUGCACCCUUGCGAGCUGGUGGGCAUCGAUUGCAUCGAGCAGUACUGUCCGCACCGUGUCGCGCGGCAGCUGGGCUUCGAUCAGGACGUGCCCGGGGAUGUCUGUCGUGUCAACUCGGAUCCAGUGGCCGCGUGGUCAACCUAUAAGAUAGAGGCUAGAUCCUUUGCAUUCAUCUUUCCAAAUCGCAAUGCCGGCGUGACCGUUGAGUACGCGCGGUGGUGGGAGCCAUACUCGUCCGCAUGCGCAGCUCAUGUUGCUAAUGCUGCAAGGACAAAGAAGCUGGUUCAUCCGAGUAAAAGAAUGAUGCAAGGAGCUACUGUGGUUGAUCUGCAAUCAACAUCUGAAGACAUUGUGGCCAUCAACGAUAAUGACUCCCUCAAAGAAUCUAAAAAGGAUGUUGAGGUGGCCACGAUGCAUAUGGAAUCAUCCGAACCGGUGAACGAAAAUGUUGAGGUAGCCGAGAGAGUGGUUUGUGCUAGAACACUCUACUAUCUUAGGCCAUUUAAGCAGGCCAAAUAUGGCCAGGUGGGCGCAAGCAGGAGAAGUUUGGAUCAAGAUUUUUUUCAGCCAAAACGGGAAGUGGGGACGAUGGAAAUGAUUAAGCGAGCAUCUGAAGCUCGAGAGGCCGAGAAGAUUGAGUUGGAAAAACAGAUUCAUAGUCUGAAGAAACAGAUUUGGGGCUAA
This 1776-nucleotide ribosomal RNA is filed under the name Triticum aestivum (bread wheat). Its description in RNAcentral is "partial small subunit ribosomal RNA". The record is from RNAcentral. Lineage: Eukaryota; Viridiplantae; Streptophyta; Magnoliopsida; Poales; Poaceae.